This 218-nucleotide ribosomal RNA is filed under the name uncultured bacterium. RNAcentral's name for it is "partial 16S ribosomal RNA". It matches the Rfam family "Bacterial small subunit ribosomal RNA", at positions 99 to 334 of the family's 1533-position model. The record is from RNAcentral.
CGCACGGGUGCGUAACGCGUGGGAAUCUGCCCUUAGGUACGGAAUAACUCAGGGAAACUUGAGCUAAUAUCGUAUAAUGACUCCGGUCCAAAGAUUUAUCGCCUAAGGAUGAGCCCGCGUAGGAUUAGCUAGUUGGUGAGGUAAAAGCUCACCAAGGCGACGAUCCUUAGCUGGUCUGAGAGGAUGAUCAGCCACACUGGGACUGAGACACGGCCCAG